CGAGGCUCCCACCUGCGCUAAGCGCUUGAUACCAGGGAGGGAAUGGGAGGACGCUUGCGGGGUAGGGAGGCGGGGGCUGGAAAUUGGCAGGGUGAGAACUGGGGAAACUAGUCUGGGACGCAGCCCUCCUUGUACCCCUUCUUCAUUCACCCCCUUGUUGAGGCCCUUGGCUUUUGCAUAAUUAUGGAAGCUCCAAAAGGAAAGACACCAGAUUGAUCUUGAUCACCUCUGCCUCCCCAGCACCUACCCUUCCUUGGCACAUCGUAAGUGUUCGGGUCAGGCUGUGCCACAUCCACCCGGCCUUGCCUGGGGUCAUUCAUCCUACAUGUACUCAGAUCAUGUGAACUGGUGACGGGCCACACAUGUGCCUGCCUGGAGACUCCUAUUCACCCUUCAGAUCAAUAUCCCCUGAAUAAACUCCCAGUCACUCUGGCA
This 435-nucleotide long non-coding RNA is filed under the name Pongo abelii (Sumatran orangutan). RNAcentral describes it as "lincRNA". The record is from RNAcentral. Lineage: Eukaryota; Metazoa; Chordata; Mammalia; Primates; Hominidae.